GACGAACGCUGGCGGCGUGCUUAACACAUGCAAGUCGAGCGGUAAGGCCCUUUCGGGGGUACACGAGCGGGCGAACGGGUGAGUAACACGUGGGUGACCUGCCCUCAGCUCUGGGAUAAGCCUGGGAAACUGGGUCUAUACUGGAUAUGACUCCACGGUGCAUGUCGUGGGGUGGAAAGCCUUGUGCGGCUGAGGAUGGGCCCGCGGCCUAUCAGCUUGUUGGUGGGGUGA
This 231-nucleotide ribosomal RNA is filed under the name uncultured bacterium. Its description in RNAcentral is "partial 16S ribosomal RNA". It matches the Rfam family "Bacterial small subunit ribosomal RNA", at positions 28 to 260 of the family's 1533-position model. The record is from RNAcentral.